Molecule: ribosomal RNA, 468 nt
Filed under: uncultured bacterium
Lineage: Bacteria
Description: partial 16S ribosomal RNA
Rfam family: Bacterial small subunit ribosomal RNA
Source: RNAcentral
GACGAACGCUGGCGGCGUGCUUAACACAUGCAAGUCGAACGGAAAGGCCCUGCUUUUGUGGGGUGCUCGAGUGGCGAACGGGUGAGUAACACGUGAGUAACCUGCCCUUGACUUUGGGAUAACUUCAUGAAACUGGGGCUAAUACCGGAUAGGAGCUCCUGCUGCAUGGUGUGGGUUGGAAAGUUUCGGCGUUUGGGGAUGGACUCGGGGCUAAUCAGCUUGUUGGUGGGGUGGUGGCUUACCAAGGCUUUGACGGGUGGCCGGCCUGAGACGGUGACCGGCCACAUUCGGGCUGAGAAGCGGCCCAUACUCCUUCGGGGGGCAGGAGUGGGGGAUAGUGCAAACAGGGCGGCAGGCUGGUGCAACAACGCCGCGUGCGGGAACGCGGCUUUCGGGUUGGAAACCGCUUGCGCCUGUAACGAUGCGUGAGUGACGGUAAUGGGUAAAAAAGCAACGGCUAACUACGUG